RNAcentral lists this small nuclear RNA (107 nucleotides) under Microcebus murinus (gray mouse lemur). The record is from RNAcentral. Lineage: Eukaryota; Metazoa; Chordata; Mammalia; Primates; Cheirogaleidae.
AUGCUUGCUUCAGCAGCACAUAUACUAAAAUUGGAAUAAUACAGAGAAGAUUACCAUGACCCCUGUGCAAAGAUGACAUGCAAAUUUGUGAAACAUUCCAUAUUUUA